RNAcentral lists this long non-coding RNA (309 nucleotides) under Monodelphis domestica (gray short-tailed opossum). RNAcentral describes it as "lncRNA (ENSMODG00000050630.1)". Lineage: Eukaryota; Metazoa; Chordata; Mammalia; Didelphimorphia; Didelphidae. The record is from RNAcentral.
GUUGGAGAAGGAAUUGCAGAAAACAUGUUCCUUACUUUGCUAAGAGGUUAACCAAAUGGACAAAUGGACAACCAGGGAAUUUCCUGUGAGCUCCAUUCUGAGUGGACAAUGCAACAUCCUGGUUUGUCUUUUUGAUCAUGGCGUGCAGACAAUCCAGCAAUUCUUAGGUUCUCUCUCUUGGACUUGUUUUCCAGAAAUCUGUUACUUUGUGAAAAUCAUUUGCUUACACUUACAGUAGACCAUGGCCAGAUUUGAAGAGAAAAUGGAUCUCUUUUUUUUGGUAAGAAACCUUUGUAUUCUAAAUUUAAU